CCAUGUAGUACACUAGAUGUAUAUGGCACCCUUUCACCUCUAUAGUGGGCCAUGUAGUACACUAGAUGUAUAUAGGGACGCAGCCUAUGACUAAGACCCAAACAUCUCUCUCUGCUAACCAGUGGUCAAACGCUUGAUGUCCGUCAGAAGAGGCAGAAGAUGAGAAGUCAGAGGCAGCAGAGCGCUACAACAUAACUAUGAGACAGGAACAGCGUGGUUAUUCCACAUGAACGAGGCGUGUUAUUCCACAUGAACGAGGAGUGUUGUUCCACAUGAAAGAGGCGUGUUGUUCCAUGAACGAGGCGUGUUGUUCCACAUGAACGAGGCGUGUUGUUCCAUGAACGAGGCGUGUUGUUCCACAUGAACGAGGCGUGUUGUUCCACAUGAACGAGGCGUGUUGUUCCACAUGAAUGAGGCGUGUUGUUCCACAUGAACGAGGCGUGUUGUUCCAUGAAUGAGGCGUGUUGUUCCACAUGAAUGAGGCGUGUUGUUCCACAUGAACGAGGCGUGUUGUUCCAUGAAUGAGGCGUGUGGUUCCACAUGAACGAGGCGUGUUGUUCCACAUGAACGAGGCGUGUUGUUCCACAUGAUCGAGGCGUGUUGUUCCACAUGAUCGAGGCGUGUUGUUCCAUGAAUGAGGCGUGUUGUUCCAUGAACGAGGCGUGUUGUUCCAUGAACGAGGCGUGUUGUUCCAUGAACGAGGCGUGUUGUUCCAUGAUCGAGGUGUGUUGUUCCACAUGAAUGAGGCGUGUUGUUCCACAUGAACGAGGCGUGUUGUUCCACAUGAACGAGGCGUGUUGUUCCACAUGAACGAGGCGUGUUGUUCCACAUGAACGAGGCGUGUUGUUCCACAUGAACGAGGCGUGUUGUUCCACAUGAACGAGGCGUGUUGUUCCACAUGAACGAGGCGUGUUGUUCCACAUGAACGAG
Molecule: long non-coding RNA, 930 nt
Organism: Oncorhynchus tshawytscha (Chinook salmon)
Lineage: Eukaryota; Metazoa; Chordata; Actinopteri; Salmoniformes; Salmonidae
Source: Ensembl